Molecule: ribosomal RNA, 253 nt
Filed under: uncultured bacterium
Lineage: Bacteria
Description: partial 16S ribosomal RNA
Rfam family: Bacterial small subunit ribosomal RNA
Source: RNAcentral
UACGUAGGGGGCGAGCGUUGUCCGGAUUUAUUGGGCGUAAAGAGCGUGUAGGCGGCCAGGCAGGUCUGCUGUGAAAACUCGAGGCUCAACCUCGAGACGUCGGCGGAAACCAUCUGGCUAGAGUCCGGAAGAGGAGAGUGGAAUUCCUGGUGUAGCGGUGAAAUGCGCAGAUAUCAGGAAGAACACCCGUGGCGAAGGCGGCGCUCUGGGACGGUACUGACGCUGAGACGCGAAAGCGUGGGGAGCGAACAGG